CCUACGGGCGGCAGCAGUGAGGAAUAUUGGUCAAUGGACGAGAGUCUGAACCAGCCAAGUAGCGUGAAGGAUGACUGCCCUAUGGGUUGUAACCUUCUUUUAUAAAGGAAUAAAACGAGGCACGUGUGCCUUUUUGCAUGUACUUUAUGAAUAAGGAUCGGCUAACUCCGUGCCAGCAGCCGCGGUAAUACGGAGGAUCCGAGCGUUAUCCGGAGUUAUUGGGUUUAAAGGGAGCGUAGAUGGGUUGUUAAGUCAGUUGUGAAAGUUUGCGGCUCAACCGUAAAAUUGCAAUUGAUACUGGCAGUCUUGAGUACAGUUGAGGUAGGCGGAAUUCGUGGUGUAGCGGUGAAAUGCUUAGAUAUCACGAAGAACCCCGAUUGCGAAGGCAGCUUACUAAACUGUGACUGACAUUGAUGCUCGAAAGUGUGGGUAUCAAACAGGAUUAGAUACCCGUGUAGUC
Molecule: ribosomal RNA, 460 nt
Filed under: uncultured bacterium
Lineage: Bacteria
Description: partial 16S ribosomal RNA
Rfam family: Bacterial small subunit ribosomal RNA
Source: RNAcentral